Molecule: long non-coding RNA, 1021 nt
Organism: Asparagus officinalis (garden asparagus)
Lineage: Eukaryota; Viridiplantae; Streptophyta; Magnoliopsida; Asparagales; Asparagaceae
Exons: 2
Source: RefSeq, a predicted model, not a curated record
CCCCCCCCCCCCCUCUAACGUCAAUACAUAGGGUCUGUGUUUUUUUUAUUUUUAAAAUAAAUCUUUUUAGGGGUCAUUUGGAAAGGAUACAAGCUCAUCGAAGGAGUUCCUCAGGCUUUACAAUCUCUGCGAUCUAUGGUAAUUUCUCAACUCUAAUCGCACUUUCAUCGAUAUUGCAGUCAUUUGGUCCUCAGGUUUAGUUUGUUUAUCUUUAUGGUUUUAUUCAUUUUUAUAAUUUUAUUCAUUUUUAUGGUCCUUGGAAACAAUCAAACUACUGAAAGAAGGAGCAUAGAAGAUUAACCACAAGACGGUAUACCACAAGUAUACCAGGUUAUCUCUAUUAAAGAGUGCAAAGUUUCUCUCUUAGCUGAGCUAUUUGUUUCUGUUGGCAUGGAAAUGCAUUCCAUUUUAGAACCUUCAGCUUAUACUUGGUGAAAGUUUUUAAUUGCUUUCGGGACUACUGCAGACAUUUCUGGUUAAUUCGAGAAGCAACUUAUUAUUCUUUCUUGAAGAUGGUUUAAAGUUAUCUUUCACUGAUAAAAGGCGCCUUGCAAAAGUUUGCUUACUUCAAGAUGUAUUGUCCAUUGCCCCAAUAUGUCCAUCUUUCCUAUAGAUUCUUACAUCUUUAGCGUCAUUAUAACUCUUCACCAAUUUGUUGGUGCCGCCAACUUCUGUACCUCCAAUAGCCGAGCUUGGUCUGGAUGCAUUGUUAGAGCCUAUGAAGGUGGAGGAAUUUGUAGAUUCUUUGAGCAAAAAGAAAAUUGCAAUUAAAGCUCUACUACUCGAUCAGGUUGGAUAUAAUUUUUUUCCACAGAAUCUCUCAUAUGUAAGUGCAAGUAAUUGUUGAAUUAGCAAUACUAGAACCACAAUGGUUAAUGAUACAUUAGGUGGGUGUGCUGCAUUUUGUAUCUCCUUUGUGUGCUGCUACUCACCCAUUCACAAGAAAAUCCAUUUAUAUGCGAUGGUGAUACCUAGGUGCUUUUUUUGUAAAAUUUAUCUUGCAGAACUCCUUCAAACCCUC